RNAcentral lists this long non-coding RNA (6669 nucleotides) under Brassica napus (rape). RNAcentral's name for it is "long non-coding RNA (BNAP_LNC015568)". Lineage: Eukaryota; Viridiplantae; Streptophyta; Magnoliopsida; Brassicales; Brassicaceae. The record is from RNAcentral.
AUGAGAAAGUUUGUGCAAUGUCUGAGAAGAAAGGGUGCACUCCGGGACAACUAGCCCUCGCGUGGGUUCACCACCAGGGAGAUGAUGUUUGCCCCAUCCCAGGAACUACUAAGAUCCAAAACCUCAAUCUGAACAUUGGAGCUCUAUCUGUGAAACUCACUCCUGAUGAGAUGCUUGAGCUCGAGACCAUUGUCCAAGCAGAGUCUGUGAAAGGAGAAAGAUAUGGUAACAUGUUGGCCACUUUCAAGAACUCUGACACUCCACCAUUGUCUUCCUGGAAACCUGCAUAAACCAGCUGAGUUGACAUUGAAGCAGUCUUAACUUCUGUGUCAGUAUGAUGAAAGUAAUUGAUCUGUUGUGUCUUGAGAGUAGGUUAUCAAACCCAAAUAUCAGUGUGAAUGUAUUGUAUAAUAAACUAUCUAUAGAGUUCCCCAAGUGAAACUUCAAUCUACAACUCCAUACACUGUGUCCAAACUCUAUAAAUAAACGUCUCUUCUAUUCAAACUUCUGAGUCGUUACCGGUGACGCUUUUUAACUAAUAUGUUAGAAUUGAGACAAAAUGUUCACAACACAAGCAAAGAGAAGCCGAAUCAUGUCAUCAUUUGACAGGUAUAAGGUUAGCAUAAAAUAAAUUAUGAAAUGCCUAUGACGAUUGAAGACCAAACCUUACAAAGAUGCGUUCUUAAUAACUCUCAUCUAAAACCUUAGAAACAGCUUAUCUAUACAACCAAAUCUACCAAGGAUCUGUGUUAUUUUUUUUUGCUGUAGCUUCAAAAGAAAAAAGCUAAAGCAUAAUUGGUGAAAAUUAAUAGGAAUUUGACAUAGGCUUUAUCAUAUUAUCAUAGCAUUUCUAUUUCAUAUUCAUAUUAACGUCUUAAACUUUGGUCUAUAUAUCAUAUAUAUGUUUUAAACAUCAAAUUGUGUAUAUUCAUCUGUAGAUAAAAAAGAGUGAGAUGAAAUAUUAGGUAUACAAAUGAAUAUGGAGAGAUAACAAAAGAGUUGUAAUUUAAUAUGUUAAGUUGUAAUUUAUUUAUUUAUUUAUUUUUAAUUUAAAUUUACUUAACAAGUUUUGAUAGGUUUUAGUUUCAGUAGUAGGGGAAUUUUUGUCCAAAAAUGUUCAAUAAUUCACAUUUCCAUCCUUGCAAAUAUUUUACUUAUUCUUGUAUAUGGACUUAUGCAGCGAAAAUUCUCAAGAAAAAAAUAUAAACCCUUUAUACUAUUAAAAUGGCUUGAUCUUAAAUGGAUUCAGGGCGAGUGCACUGUUUGACUUCCCAACUAAGCAGGCCCUAAUAAGUAGUAAAGAUCCACAUACUCAUUCAGGAUGGAACUGAUGUUAUUUCUUGCCAGAUGAAAUAGGCUGAUGUUGGGGAUGAUUGGUUGGGAUAUAUCAAGUGGCUUUAGCUUUAGUUUCUAUCUACAACCAUAAAAGCUACCAAUUGUGUUUUAUGUAGUUUUUAAAGUUAAAGCCAAUUUUUUUUUGUAAAAUGGUUGUAGAAGCUUAUCUUCUAAAGCAAAAGAAAAAAAUUUUGGUGUAGGAAUUUUUUUCCUUUAUUGGUGAUGAUUGAUUCCACUGUGGCUUUAAAAAUUAAGCUGGAAAAAUUUAGACAUGGGUAAGUUAAUUGUAGCUGUAAAUAUGUUAAUGUAGACUUUUGUACAGAUGUUUUUGGUCUAGUUAAAUUUGUUGUAGGUAUAAGAUAUAUGAUGUAGAUAUUUAAAAUAAAAUAUGUGAAAUAUGUGAUGUAUAUAUAAAUUUUUUUUUUAUCAAUUAAUAUAAUUUGGGUGAUUGUUUGGGUUGUACCAUGAAAGUCUGUGAUGUAAAAUUUAGUAUGUAGAAUUUUUUGUUGUAGAUGUACUGACUGUAACUGGAAAAAAUAAAUAGAAAAAAUAAAGAUAUCCCUUAUAUACUAAAGCACAAGUCACUUAAGCAAUUAAAUUUUGACAUGUGUCAUUGUUUUACAAUUUUAAAAAAACAAAUACACUGCAUUCCUUUAUUUUCAAUAAAAUUUGUAACUGCCAAAAAAAGUAAAAUUCCUUUUUUUCCAACUACCACAAUCACACGUUGGAUUGGAAGAUGAAUUUUAUAACCCUCAAACGGUUUCCUACUUUCCUAUAUAUAACUAAAUCAACUAUUUUCUGUAUAUUUCCCCUCUUCUUCUUAAUAGUUUCAUAUUUUAUAGUUUUAUUCGAGUUUUGUCUUAUAUUUUGUAGUUAUUUUUUCAACAAAAAAAUUUAGACAUUUCGAAUAAGGUACAACAAAAAAAUAAACGGUCUAAUAACUAAAUUCCUAAAUUUUCUCAGAUUAUUAAAGCUUCUUUCAAAAAAAUCAUCAACACCGCGUUCUAAAGUAAUGAUAAUGAUUUGAAACUGUUUUGUCUUCUACAUUCUUAACAUGAUCUUUUCUCUCACAUAUUUUCUUUUGGUCUUCUUCUCCAUCGCUUCAGUUUUAAGGCAUUCAUAUUAAAUAAGAUAAAAAUUAAAACUACAGAACCAAAAAGAAGAAGAAAACAUAUAACAGACUUAGAAAGAGAUGCUUGGAAUGGAGUGCCAGCCAAGGUAAAAGAGCAGAUAACAAUAUUUUUUUAAUAUUUAUAGCUUUAUAUUCAUCGGUUUUUGGAUUGAAAUUUUUGACUGUGCAAAAUAAAAGGCCAAAUUUUUGGAUGCUCAAAACUUUGGCUAGAGCGUAUUGGACAACUGAAAAAUUUAAAAACCCAGGUUAACUGAAAAAGAAAUUCAACACGGUAAAAAUUCUAAUUUGAGCAUUUUAGAGUUUGGCUCUUCUAAGUUUCAUUAACCUAGGUUUUUAAACUUUUCAGUUGUCCGUUGUCCAAAAAAAAAAGGACAACUGAAAAGUUUAAAAACCCAGGUUAAUGAAACUUAGAAGAGCCAAACUCUAAAAUGCUCAAAUUAUAAUUUUCACCGUGUUGAAUUUCUUUUUCAUGAAUUAUUUCUAUUCUAACAUUUUAAAACUUUUUCUUUAGAUAUUGGAAAACUAUAUAUGGUCAAAAAAAACAAAAAGGUAAACGGAAACAAACUAUGUCAAUAACAUAUUCACAAUGGAGUAAAUCAAUUUUCAAUUUGCUAGAACGUGUUUAUUAGUUCGGGGUGGUGAUAAUUCAAAAUAGUAUUAAACUCUUUUUAUUAUAAAUUCUAUACAUAUUAUAUUUUUUAAAAAAAUGUAACAUAUAAAACAAUGGCCGUGCGUGUAGCACGGGAACAUAUACUAGUUAGUAAUAUACUUCUGCAGCCAUAUAUUGUUUUACAUCACAAAAAUAUGGCUUUGGUAAAUAAAGGGUUUACAUCCAUUUUUAAUUUUUUUUGUAGCUUUAAAAAUUGACUUAAAUUAUGAAUGGAAAUUUUAAAGGUUGUAUAUAGAGUUAAAGCUAAAGCAUGUAUCUACAUCCGAACCAAUCACUCCAAAUGUAUAUAUUAAUAUCUUUUAUAAAUUAUCAAAGUUUAUUGUUAUUUAAAAUGUGAUAUGUAAAUAAUUUUUAUGUUAUUUAAAAUAUUUCAAUAAUUUAAAAAACACCCAAAAUUAAAUUAAAGUAUUUAUAAAUGUUAUUAUUAUGAUCAUCUAAUUUAUUUAAUAUUAUAGAUAAUUUUUUUUUAUUUUACAGAUUCUACAGCCUAUUAAAAGAAAAUGUAGGUUUUUUUCCUAAAAUACAUAAAAAAUUGUUUUUUUUAUGUAGCUUUAAAAAAAACUAAAUCAUGAUUGGUAAAAUUAAUAGAAACUUGAUAUAGACUUUAACUUUUAAAAAUAAAGCUACAACAUGAUUAGUAAAAUUUUAGUGAUUUACAAAUAAAUAAAGCUAAAAGUAGGGAGAUAAAACUCAACCAAUCACCCCCAUUAUUCUUUUCUCAUUUAAUUUUUACAGUUAAAUUAGUUACAGCUAAAUAAAAAAUUUAUAGACUAAGGGCCUGACUGGUUCAAACGCAGUGGUUGCGGUAGCUGUUGCGGGAGUUUGCUGAUGCGGAUGGUUACGGUUUCUAGCGGUUUUAAGAGAUUUGUACGACUGGUUCUACGGUUAGAAAUUGGUGCGUUUGCGGGAUACUUAUGACUGGUUAACUACCAAAUGCAGCAGCGGUUAAAUAAUAAAUUAAUAAUAUUUACAUUUAUAUAAUUAUAAAAAUAUCAAAAAUCAUAAUAUUAUAAUAAAUAUAAAAAUUAUAUUUAGAAAGUUAUAGUUUUAAAUUUUUAAAAAUUAUAGAAAAUAUUUUUAUUUUAAAAUUUUAUAAUAUUAAUUAAAAUAUAAUAGAUAUAAUUUAUUAUUAUUAUAAUUCCAAUUUAAAAAUUGUAUUGAAUAUUUUUAUUUUUGUAUUUAUAUUGUGUUUUUUAAUAGAAAAAAAUUUAUCCUCUUUCAACCACCCGCAGCCGCAAACGCUAGCUGGAACCAGUUUUUGAAUUUAUGAAGUUGAGAACGGUUUAAAGCGGUCUAGAGCGAUUUGAGUGAUUGUUGCAAAACGCCAACAACCGCUACCAAACGCAAAAGCUGCGUUUGCGGGUGAUAGAGGGGAAACCAGUCAUACCCCAAAUCUUGUAGGAAAGUUUCUACUGCAACAAUCCAACCAAUCACCCCCGUUAUCUUGUGGUUGUAUACAGAAAAUAGACUAUCAGGAUGGGAAAGGUUUAUUGAGAAAGGACAGCCAAACAAAAAGUUACACUGGAUAAACACUUGCAUGAGAAAAUCUUUCUUAGUCAAUUUUCCGCUCAUGUCAAUCUUUUUUCUACCAGCUAGCACUUGGAUCAGAUUCACACACGUACGAUUGCAAAGACAAAAAAAUUAGAAAUCAAUCAGCUUGGACACAUAAAGGGUUGAAGAAAUUUGACUGAAAGCAUGAGCAUUCUGCCAUAGAAGCUCCAUGCUGCAUCACUCGAACCUAAGAAAACAUGAGUUUGUAAAGUAUAAAUUAUUUUAUUUAUAGAGUAAAUCUAUUUUUUUAAUCAUAGAGUGAAAUAGAGUUAAGUUGAAACAUUUUCAUUUUAAAAUCUGUUUUAAAAGUAAAAAGAGAGUAGAGUUGAAUCUAGUCCAAGGAUAAAGAGCCUACUAUUUCAACGUAUUAUUGGCUAGCGCUUUUUUUGUUUUGUUUUUUUUUUGAACACUGUGUAGUGCUUUUUUUCUUCAUAAAUUUUGCUGGUAGUAGUACUACAGCAAAACAAUCAAAAGACACACACGGCUUCUUUUAGAGUAUCCUCGUCAUUACCAAUUGAUUCACCAACCCACCCCACCCCACCCCACCCACCCUCUCCACUGAAAAGAAGAAAAAAAAAGGUUCAAAACUCUAUACAAAAGAGGCAAAGCGAGAUUAAAAAGAAAAGAAAGAGGUGUGCGAGGGAAAUCAAUGGCGGAAGCUAGCGGAGUGAAGAGAAUGAAGCUAGGAAGCCAAGGGGUUGAGGUCUCGGCUCAAGGCCUUGGUUGCAUGGGCCUCUCAACCUUGUACGGUGCUCCCAAGCCCGAAACUGACGCUAUCACUCUUCUCCACCACGCAAUUGAUACCGGCGUUACUUUCCUAGAUACCUCCGACAUCUACGGUCCUGAGACCAACGAGCUGCUUCUCGGAAAGGUUCGCUUCCCAUCAUUUCAGAUUCUUUAGAAAUGAUGUUCAUUGUUUGAAGUUUGAACUCUCUCUGUCAGGCUCUGAAGAAUGGGUUUAGGGAAAAAAUAGAGCUUGCUACCAAAUUUGGAAUCAUUUACGGAGAGGGGGAGAGAGAGAUAAAGGGAGAUCCUGCUUAUGUUAGGGCUGCUUGUGAAGCAAGUUUGAAGCGUCUUGAUGUGGAUUGCAUUGAUCUUUAUUACCAGCAUCGGAUUGAUACUCGUGUCCCUAUCGAAAUCACUGUAAGCCAGUUUCACAUCUUUGGCUUGGGUUGUGUUAGAUUCUUUUAGGAGGAUGCUUUCUGGUGUGAACCUGGCACCUUUUGCUCAAGUUAAAAGAGUUUCUUUUAUGUUUGGUUAAUUCUUAGAUGGGAGAACUGAAGAAGCUAGUUGAAGAAGGUAAGAUAAAGUACAUUGGUUUGUCUGAAGCCUCUGCCUCAACUAUCAGAAGAGCACAUGCUGUUCACCCCAUAACAGCGGUUCAGCUAGAGUGGUCUUUGUGGACAAGAGACGGGGAAGAAGAUAUCAUUCCUACCUGCAGGUAUCAUCUACUCCUUUCUUUGCGCACUAUCCAUCAAAUCAUAUAACGUCAUCUUCACUUUCCUUUUCUUCAGGGAGCUUGGGAUUGGGAUUGUUGCUUACAGUCCUCUAGGACGUGGCUUCUUCGCUGCUGGACCAAAACUUGUUGAGAAGCUGGACAAUGAUGACUUCAGAAAGGCAAGGCAACUACUACUACUCUCUGCAUUGAAUAGUCUUGGCUUGCUUAACUCUGUUUCUGGUUGCAGAGACUACCAAGAUUCAAACAGGAAAACUUAGACCACAAUAAGAUUCUCUACGACAAGGUUUGUGCAAUGUCUGAGAAGAAAGGUUGCACUCCUGCACAACUAGCCCUGGCUUGGGUUCACCACCAGGGAGAUGAUGUUUGCCCCAUCCCAGGAACCACUAAGAUAGAAAACCUCAAUCAGAACAUUGGAGCUUUAUCUGUGAAACUCACUCCUGAUGAGAUGGCUGAGCUCGAGACCAUCGUCCAGCUAGAGUCUGUGAAAGGAGAAAGAUACGCUAACAUGACGGCCACUUUCAA